UGAAUAAAUUAAGUCUAGUGAUCAAACUACAAUUAGGAUCAGUUGACUAGAUCAAGCUAGAACCAUUAUCGAUUUUGAGCAGUUAACUGAACCUAAUCAAUUGUUGGUUAGGAAUAGGUCAAAAAGACUCAAAAUUGAGUUUAGUUAUAGUUAGUCGUAUCGAUUCAUAUUUUGAUGUGAAUUGAUUGACUCAAGAUCUAAUUUGGCUCAGU
This 212-nucleotide long non-coding RNA is filed under the name Elaeis guineensis (African oil palm). RNAcentral's name for it is "long non-coding RNA (EGUI_LNC032324)". The record is from RNAcentral. Lineage: Eukaryota; Viridiplantae; Streptophyta; Magnoliopsida; Arecales; Arecaceae.